AUGCAUUAUCUAUGCCCGGUGAGACAAAAGGAAACAGUAGUUAAUCAAGAGGUAGUCUUAGGAUUAAUUUCUGGACCAACAAACAUUAAGAAACGUUCACCACCGCACGCUGCCGAAGCAGAAACAAACACGAGUUCAAGCGACUACUACUUGGUAGUACAGAGCAAACCCAAAAUGAAACGCAGGUCCAACGUUGCCACAACAAACAAGCCGACGCGCAAGGCAUCCCACCGUGGAAAUGGAUGCCUGGAUCACGAAGCGCCAGGGCGAUCUUCACUUCAGCUAGUCGUCCAGAGUAAAAGGAGCUGCCGGCUGCUCAGGGGCCUUGCGCUUCGGAGAGGAAGACGGAGCAGGAUC
This 357-nucleotide ribosomal RNA is filed under the name Triticum aestivum (bread wheat). Its description in RNAcentral is "partial small subunit ribosomal RNA". The record is from RNAcentral. Lineage: Eukaryota; Viridiplantae; Streptophyta; Magnoliopsida; Poales; Poaceae.